GCUGGCCGGAUGGAACAGGAGGCAUGAAUGAGCCAUCUUUCCAAUGCCUUUCUGUCUUUUCUGGUCCAG
MicroRNA precursor from Cercocebus atys (sooty mangabey), 69 nucleotides. The record is from Ensembl. NCBI's taxonomy places the organism in Eukaryota, Metazoa, Chordata, Mammalia, Primates, Cercopithecidae.